Vigna umbellata (rice bean) is the source of this 869-nucleotide non-coding RNA. The record is from RefSeq and is a predicted model, not a curated record. NCBI's taxonomy places the organism in Eukaryota, Viridiplantae, Streptophyta, Magnoliopsida, Fabales, Fabaceae.
CUCCACUGGUAUUUAAUUCACGCAUAAACCUACAGUUCAGUCCGCGGCACCUAGAUCUUAAUAUCAAAACGCGAUGAAUCUUCGACGGUGCUGUACUUCGAGUUUCAUAAGGCAGUGUGUUUGCCAUCGUCUUGCUUUGUCUUUGCAUUUUAUUCAGUUCUGUUUCCAUGAUCAUCUAGGUUAGUAUGGGGUUUAAGCAUUUUGAUGUGAUUUAUGCAAUUGGGAUGUAAUUGAAUAUGAUAUAUAAAAUGGACUUUUUGCUUAUGCAUCUUUUUUGUUUGAAACCUAAUUGGUUUUCCCUGUUGCGUGUUUCGGUGGUAAGGUUGAAGGUUGGGGAGGUGGUGGGAGCGAGUUUGGUGGUGCGUUUCUGGUGUAUACGUUUCCGAUGUGUGCGACAGAGGAGAGGGAGCUACAAACUUCACUCUUAUCCUUGGAUUUGGAGAUUUAAGUUUGUGGCAAUGAACACUAUUGAAGAAGUUGAGAAUGCUAUGGAGAAAUUCAAUAGCUAUAGACUGCGAUGAAGAAUAAGAUCGAUGAGUUGAAGGAGGCUCUAUCUGAUUCAAGGAAGAAAAUUUCUUGUCUAGAAGAGAGAAUUGUGAAGGAAUAAUCAGAUAAAUUGGUUUCACAGGACGAGACUAUAAAGCAAAAUGAACAGGGCUUGAAAAUUGAAUCUGAGCUUCUUGGAAUCCUAGUGCACCAUUUCCCCAUUCGUAUAUUUUCUGUAAGAAAUUCUUACUGCUAAGUAUAAAUACACUUUGAUAAAAACUGCUAAGUAUAAAUACACAUUUCCCCAUUCACUCAUUCUGCAGGUAUAAAUACACAGUUCUAUGUAGGUUGAUAACAGGUUUUUACAGAGUUAAUAUACAAUU